Molecule: long non-coding RNA, 220 nt
Filed under: Oryza brachyantha (malo sina)
Lineage: Eukaryota; Viridiplantae; Streptophyta; Magnoliopsida; Poales; Poaceae
Description: long non-coding RNA (OBRA_LNC003347)
Source: RNAcentral
GUUCUUGUGCCAGGCUUACAGCCCGCUUCUCCUUCUCUCUUCUUCACCUCCCGCUUCUCCUUCUCUCUCCUCCACCUCAGUAUUUAGCCAGCUUACCGUCUGCUAUUAUAUUAGUUCGUGUGUAGCUGCAGCUAGCUAGCAUUGACUGAAACACACCGAUCAUUGGAUGAUUUUGGAGCAGAUGAAUGCGUGAGAAUGGAUCGAUCGACGGAUGAUGUUG